RNAcentral lists this long non-coding RNA (308 nucleotides) under Gossypium barbadense (sea-island cotton). Its description in RNAcentral is "long non-coding RNA (GBAR_LNC019298)". The record is from RNAcentral. Lineage: Eukaryota; Viridiplantae; Streptophyta; Magnoliopsida; Malvales; Malvaceae.
GAACGUGGCAGUGGUCGGGGUGGUGGUCGACGUGGCCGGCGGCAGGACCGUGGUCGCGGUCAACCUUCGCAGUCUUCCUCUCGCGGCGGCGGCGGUAGAGCAAGAGGCCGUGGAUCAGCUGGUUCUACUGCAACUUAUAACCCCCCUCCUCCUCAGAUGGCUCCGGCUCAGCCACCUCCUCAAAUGGCUUUAGCUCCGCCAGUUCCUCCAUCGGGGGCCCCUUUUUCUCAUCCUUCUUCAAGUUCUGGUGUAGGAUCACUUUCCAGAGAGGUAUCGGAGAAGCUUACAAUGGAGCCGGUGGCUGUGAC